AGUCAAGUAAUUAAGUGCAUGUGGUGGAUGCCUUGGCAGUCAGAGGCGAUGAAAGACGUGAUAGCCUGCGAAAAGCUCCGGGGAGGCGGCAAAUAUCCUUUGAUCCGGAGAUGUCUGAAUGGGGGAACCCACCUACUUUAAGGUAGGUAUUGCAACAUGAAUACAUAGUGUUGCAAGGCGAACGAGGGGAAGUGAAACAUCUCAGUACCCUUAGGAAAAGAAAUCAAUUGAGAUUCCCUCAGUAGCGGCGAGCGAACGGGGAUCAGCCCAUUAAGUUAUGUGUGUUUUAGUGGAACGCUCUGGGAAGUGCGAACGUAGAGGGUGAUAUUCCCGUACACGAAAGGGCACACAUAAUGAUGACGAGUAGGGCGAGGCACGUGAAACCUUGUCUGAAUAUGGGGGGACCAUCCUCCAAGGCUAAAUACUCCUGACUGACCGAUAGUGAACCAGUACCGUGAGGGAAAGGCGAAAAGAACCCCUGUGAGGGGAGUGAAAUAGAUCCUGAAACCGCAUGCAUACAAGCAGUGGGAGCACCUUCGUGGUGUGACUGCGUACCUUUUGUAUAAUGGGUCAGCGACUUAUAUUCAGUAGCGAGGUUAACCGUAUAGGGGAGCCGUAGAGAAAUCGAGUCUUAAUAGGGCGUUUAGUUGCUGGGUAUAGACCCGAAACCAGGCGAUCUAUCCAUGAGCAGGUUGAAGGUUGGGUAACACUAACUGGAGGACCGAACCCACUGUCGUUGAAAAGCCAGGGGAUGACUUGUGGAUAGGGGUGAAAGGCUAAUCAAGCCUGGUGAUAGCUGGUUCUCCCCGAAAGCUAUUUAGGUAGCGCCUCGGACGAAUACCAUAGGGGGUAGAGCACUGUUUCGGCUAGGGGGUCAUCCCGACUUACCAAACCGAUGCAAACUCCGAAUACCUAUGAGUACUAUCCGGGAGACAGACUGCGGGUGCUAACGUCCGUAGUCAAGAGGAAAACAAUCCAGACCGCCAGCUAAGGCCCCAAAAUCAUAGUUAAGUGGGAAACGAUGUGGGAAGGCAUAGACAGCUAGGAGGUUGGCUUAGAAGCAGCCACCCUUUAAAGAAAGCGUAAUAGCUCACUAGUCGAGUCGGCCUGCGCGGAAGAUGUAACGGGGCUAAAACUAUGUGCCGAAGCUGCGGAUGUAUACUUUGUAUACGUGGUAGGGGAGCGUUCUGUAAGCCGAUGAAGGUGUGUUGAGAAGCAUGCUGGAGGUAUCAGAAGUGCGAAUGCUGACGUGAGUAACGACAAAACGGGUGAAAAACCCGUUCGCCGAAAGACCAAGGGUUCCAGUCCAACGUUAAUCGGGGCUGGGUGAGUCGACCCCUAAGGCGAGGCCGAAAGGCGUAGUCGAUGGGAAAAUGGUUAAUAUUCCAUUACUUCUGUGUAAUGCGAUGAGAGGACGGAGAAGGCUAAAUCAGCCUGGCGUUGGUUUCCAGGUGAAAGGAUGUAGGCAUGUAUCUUAGGCAAAUCCGGGGUACUCUAUGCUGAGAUCUGAUAGCAAGCUGUACUUGUACAGCGAAGUGGUUGAUGCCAUGCUUCCAGGAAAAGUCUCUAAGCUUCAGUUACACAGGAAUCGUACCCGAAACCGACACAGGUGGUCAGGUCGAGUAGACCAAGGCGCUUGAGAGAACUCUGCUGAAGGAACUAGGCAAAAUGGUACCGUAACUUCGGGAGAAGGUACGCUGUUGUUGGUGAUGGAACUCGCUUCCUGAGCUGACGACAGCCGCAGAAACCAGGCCGCUGCAACUGUUUAUUAAAAACAUAGCACUCUGCAAACACGAAAGUGGACGUAUAGGGUGUGAUGCCUGCCCGGUGCUGGAAGGUUAAUUGAUGGGGUUAGCGUAAGCGAAGCUCUUGAUCGAAGCCCCAGUAAACGGCGGCCGUAACUAUAACGGUCCUAAGGUAGCGAAAUUCCUUGUCGGGUAAGUUCCGACCUGCACGAAUGGCAUAAUGAUGGCGGCGCUGUCUCCAGCAGAGGCUCAGUGAAAUCGAAAUCGCUGUGAAGAUGCAGUGUACCCGCGGCUAGACGGAAAGACCCCGUGAACCUUUACUGCAGCUUGACACUGAACUUUGACCUUACUUGUGUAGGAUAGGUGGGAGGCUUUGAAGCUGGAACGCUAGUUCCAGUGGAGCCGUCCUUGAAAUACCACCCUGGUAAUGUUGAGGUUCUAACUCUGUCCCGUGAUCCGGGACGAGGACCGUGUCUGGUGGGUAGUUUGACUGGGGCGGUCUCCUCCUAAAGAGUAACGGAGGAGUACGAAGGUGCGCUCAGCGUGGUCGGAAAUCACGCGUAGAGUAUAAAGGCAAAAGCGCGCUUAACUGCGAGACCCACAAGUCGAGCAGGUACGAAAGUAGGUCUUAGUGAUCCGGUGGUUCUGUAUGGAAGGGCCAUCGCUCAACGGAUAAAAGGUACUCUGGGGAUAACAGGCUGAUACCGCCCAAGAGUUCAUAUCGACGGCGGUGUUUGGCACCUCGAUGUCGGCUCAUCUCAUCCUGGGGCUGAAGCAGGUCCCAAGGGUAUGGCUGUUCGCCAUUUAAAGAGGUACGCGAGCUGGGUUUAGAACGUCGUGAGACAGUUCGGUCCCUAUCUACCGUGGGCGCUGGAAAUUUGAGAGGAUCUGCUCCUAGUACGAGAGGACCAGAGUGGACGAACCUCUGGUGUACCGGUUGUGACGCCAGUCGCAUCGCCGGGUAGCUAUGUUCGGAAGGGAUAACCGCUGAAAGCAUCUAAGCGGGAAGCCUACCUCAAGAUAAGAUUUCCCUAGGACUUUAUGUCCUCUAAAGAGCCGUUCGAGACUAGGACGUUGAUAGGUUGGAUGUGGAAGCAUAGUGAUAUGUGAAGCUGACCAAUACUAAUUGCUCGUGAGGCUUGACUAU
This 2892-nucleotide ribosomal RNA is filed under the name Acinetobacter baumannii. Its description in RNAcentral is "23S ribosomal RNA". It matches the Rfam family "Bacterial large subunit ribosomal RNA". Lineage: Bacteria; Pseudomonadati; Pseudomonadota; Gammaproteobacteria; Moraxellales; Moraxellaceae. The record is from RNAcentral.